CCAGAGGGCUGGAUGACCGCGGGGGUGUAAGCCUUCGAGGAAAGUCCGGGCUCCACGGAAACAUGGCGCCGGGUAACGCCCGGCGGGGGCGACCCCAGGGAUAGCGCCACAGAGAUCAGACCGCCGCGUUCGCGCGGUAAGGGUGAAACGGUGCGGUAAGAGCGCACCGCGUCUUCGGCAACGAAGACGGCACGGCAAGCCCCGCCAGGAGCAAGACCAAAUAGGGAUGGCACAUGAGCUGUUUCCGGCUCGUCAUCCGGGUAGGUCGCGCGAGGCGUCCGGCGACGGACGUCCCAGAGGAAUGGUCAUCCAACCCGUAAGGGUGGACAGAACCCGGCUUACAGGCCCUCUGGCUCA
This 357-nucleotide RNase P RNA is filed under the name Alphaproteobacteria bacterium. RNAcentral's name for it is "RNase P RNA component class A". It matches the Rfam family "Bacterial RNase P class A". Rfam says of the family: Ribonuclease P (RNase P) is a ubiquitous endoribonuclease, found in archaea, bacteria and eukarya as well as chloroplasts and mitochondria. Its best characterised activity is the generation of mature 5'-ends of tRNAs by cleaving the 5'-leader elements of precursor-tRNAs. Cellular RNase Ps are ribonucleoproteins. Lineage: Bacteria; Pseudomonadati; Pseudomonadota; Alphaproteobacteria. The record is from RNAcentral.